Molecule: ribosomal RNA, 449 nt
Filed under: uncultured bacterium
Lineage: Bacteria
Description: partial 16S ribosomal RNA
Rfam family: Bacterial small subunit ribosomal RNA
Source: RNAcentral
AACGAACGCUGGCGGCAUGCCUAAUACAUGCAAGUCGAACGAGAUCUUCGGGUCUAGUGGCGCACGGGUGCGUAACGCGUGGGAAUCCGCCCUUUGGUUCGGAAUAACAGUUGGAAACGACUGCUAAUACCGGAUGAUGACGAAAGUCCAAAGAUUUAUCGCCAGAGGAUGAGCCCGCGUAGGAUUAGCUAGUUGGUGUGGUAAAGGCGCACCAAGGCGACGAUCCUUAGCUGGUCUGAGAGGAUGAUCAGCCACACUGGGACUGAGACACGGCCCAGACUCCUACGGGAGGCAGCAGUGGGGAAUAUUGGACAAUGGGCGAAAGCCUGAUCCAGCAAUGCCGCGUGAGUGAUGAAGGCCUUAGGGUUGUAAAGCUCUUUUACCCGGGAUGAUAAUGACAGUACCGGGAGAAUAAGCUCCGGCUAACUCCGUGCCAGCCGCCGCUGUAA